UGCGGGAGCUUGCUCCCAAAGGUUAGCGGCGGACGGGUGAGUAACACGUGGGCAACCUACCUAUAAGACUGGGAUAACUUCGGGAAACCGGAGCUAAUACCGGAUAAUUCUUUUCUACACAUGUAGAAAAGCUAAAAGACGGUUUACGCUGUCACUUAUAGAUGGGCCCGCUUUUUCAUUAGCUAGUUGGUGAGAUAACGGCUCACCAAGGCCACGAUGCGUAGCCGACCUUUCAUCCUCUCGGCCAGAACUGGANUGAGACACGAUCGAUCUGGNUGUUAACUCGACCAUUCU
Molecule: unclassified non-coding RNA, 294 nt
Filed under: uncultured bacterium
Lineage: Bacteria
Description: partial contains 16S ribosomal RNA and 16S-23S ribosomal RNA intergenic spacer region
Rfam family: Bacterial small subunit ribosomal RNA
Source: RNAcentral